This 2685-nucleotide long non-coding RNA is filed under the name Elaeis guineensis (African oil palm). RNAcentral describes it as "long non-coding RNA (EGUI_LNC022300)". Lineage: Eukaryota; Viridiplantae; Streptophyta; Magnoliopsida; Arecales; Arecaceae. The record is from RNAcentral.
UUGGUGGCGCUGUGUACAUCCAUCUUGGAGUCUUAUGGCUCUGUGGGCCCCAUCGUCCUGACAAUCAGAAAAAGGCGCCACGUAGGGUGUCAGAUCCUGGAGUAAAGGUUCGGGUUCCGGUAGGAGUAGGUGGUGGUCACAAACGACAAAAACCGGAACAGCUAGCACGGACACGUGGACGCAGGAAACGGAAAGCGUCAAUGAAUCCCACUAAUGCAAGCGUCCUUCGAUUCUGUUCGGCUCCCUUGAUGUAUUGGGACCCGCGCAAUACCCUUCUGCUGCUCCUCUCCCUGUUCCCUUUUGCCUUAACCUAUAACUGGGUCACGUUGUAGGCAUUUUGAUGCCAAGUAGAAAUAGGAUAGGAGAUCGCUGGUAGUGAGGUUACCACAAUCUUCCUUAUAUUGAACCAUAUAUGCUCCACAUAUAUGAAUAAUUCAUUAUUGGUGAAAAUCACGAGAGAAUUCAUGUUUAGGAUUUGGGUUAUGACUAUACUUAUUAGAUUAAAAUUAAAAAAUUUUUGGAUAAGAUAAAAAUGAUUUAAUAUUUAGAAUUUGUUUGAAUAAUUUAGCUAAAAAAUUUAUGAAAUUCGUAGAUUGGCCAAUACAACUAGAAUACCAUAGGAUUAUAAUUGGACUAGACUUAUAUUCAUAAAUAUCCAAAAAUAUCUUUAUAAUUAUAUAUAAUAUUAAUCAAUUUAAGUUCUCAAAGCCCUUCCUUGUUGUCAAGAUCAAUUCCCUAUAUUAAUUUAUUCAAGAAGCAUUGCCUCGAUAAUUGCUCCUCAUCUUUCUCACCUCAAAUACCUUUCUCUUUUUCUCUCUCCCUCUUCAAUAUCAUUAAUGUAGGUUGCUAGACUAACAAGCUACAAGCAAACAUAGUCAAUGACCAUUGUUUGGCGGAAGAAAGAGGGAGGGUGUGUACAGAUGAGUGCUUGGAAAUACCGAGGAGAGGGAGGGAAGCAGUAUAUUUGAUGAAUUCUCAAAGAAAGAAAGUAAGAGAGAAAAAUGAGAAAGAAGAUGAAUUAUAAAAUAUUUAACUAUUUGAUCACAUUACAAGUAAUCGUAGAUCACUGACACUAGUUAGAUGAUCAAUUUUUUCAUUUGCUUGAAUAGAUUAAAUAUUAAUUUUACCUCAUUGCAAAUCAAAGAUCAAGACUACUAGAAAUAUAUAAUGAUACCAACUUCAACUUCAAUAUAGCAUAUUCAUUUAUUUAUAUAAUGCUAUGCAUAUUUUGAACCAGCAUUUUGGCUUACAAUCAAGUCCUCUUUCAUUCGAAAAUCUAGCUUCGUUUCAAGGUCUCUACUCAUUUAAUAACAUAAUAAAUCUUCAUAUCACGAAGAAAAUAUCAUUUACUAGCUCAAAAUGCAGUAGAGGUGAGUAAUUUGCUAUACAUCAUAAGUGCGAUAUAGUUCAUGAUACUAAAAUAUUAAUAGACUUAAUAUAAAUAUAAAUUAAAACUCAAAAAAAAGUUAGUCAAAAUGUAUUGUUAGUUUUAACUAUGGAAGUAUUCUCCAGUUAAAUGCUUGAAUCUACAUAUAAACAAAAUCAAGAAACUAUCUGAAAAAUAAUGUUCCGGAGAAAAUGAAAAUGGAUGUUGAAGCAUGCAAGACACAAAGGAAAGAGUGAUAUAUGAUGCAUGAUCCAUUAGAAAACCAGGUGCUACAGCCGCCUUUUAACCCUACAUGUAUUAACGAAGGUCUGACACGCGUUUCCUUCAUCAUUUGGAGCUUCCAGACAAACCACGCGGAAUGGAUGUCCACCGGGAGUGAUCAUAUCCCACGAUGAGCUAUCUGCGUUCACUACCUAAACCUGUACCUGCGGAGCACCAGACAAAGCCUCUUCAUUAAAAGCCCACCACCUCAUCACCCUUCUCGCUCCCUUAGAAGAAGAGAAGAAGAAGAGGAGAAUAGCUUUAGAUGGCGGGCUUGAGCGUUCUUUUGGAAGCCCAGAAGAACUUCCCAAAAAACACCCAAAUCCUCAGGAAGACCUCCAUCCUACGAAACUUUUCUCUCUCCUCCAUUCCUCUUCCCAUCUCCCCUCCUUCCCCUUCCUUCCCCACGAGCCCUUUCCUGGAAUUCUGCUACCUCUGCCGCAAAAGACUCCAAGAAGGGAAGGACAUCUACAUGUAUAGGUGAGCAUACCUUCCAGUCCCUUCCCCUCUUCUCACUCUUCCCUCCAUGCGGGUAUUUUGGGAAUACCAACUCUUCUCUCUCUAAAAUGCCCUUCUCCUAAUUAUUUUUAUUGUAGGGGUGACAGGGCGUUUUGCAGCGUGGAGUGCCGGUGCAAGCAGAUAUUCAUGGACGAGGAGAGCGGGAGGAGGGACAACUGCUCGCUCGCCGCCUCCGCCUCCGCCGCCGCCGAGAGAGGAGGAGCGCCGGCUGCGCGUCACCGGAGGCGGGUGGCAGGGAAGGGGUCGUCGGUGGCCGGCGACUUCGCGUACUGAGGAGAGCAGGGUGGAAAGAGCGCUUAGGCUUUAUCUUUCUUGUUUAGACGAAAAUGCCCUCCAUGUUUUUUUUGCCGGUGGAGGAAUAAGCGUGGAAGGCGGAGGCUAUUUCGGUCUUUUCGGUGAUUUUGUGGUUUCUCGUCCGAAUGCGUCGCCAGUCGGUGGCAGAAAAGAGUAAUAGAUCGAUAGAUUCCACGAAAAAAAAAAAAAAAAAGAAGAAGAGAGAGAGAGAGAGAGAGAGAGAG